This 74-nucleotide small RNA is filed under the name Xanthomonas campestris pv. raphani. RNAcentral describes it as "sX9 sRNA". It matches the Rfam family "Xanthomonas sRNA sX9". The record is from RNAcentral. Lineage: Bacteria; Pseudomonadati; Pseudomonadota; Gammaproteobacteria; Lysobacterales; Lysobacteraceae.
AUGUACCCCCGUACAUUCCGGUUCCUCCGCGCCGUCCGCACCCACCUGACGGCUCUCGCUACGUUUUGUUAGCC